GCGCUGUGUGACUUCUAAGGUUAGGUCAUAAAAUGCGAUGUGGCUUACACCUGGUUGCCUCACUAUGCUCACCCUCAGAACCCAGUCACCAUGCUGUGAGGAAGCCCAGUUCACAGGAAGAGAGAACAGUUGACAGUGAGCUGUCUUGGAGGAUAGGCCCAUGUUGGAUUCUCUCUCUUCACUGGCACCUGAAAAAAAGAUUUACAUGGCCGGCCCCGUGGCCGAGUGGUUAAGUUCGUGCGCUCUGCUUCGAUGGCCCAGGGUUUUGCCGGUUCGGAUCCUGGGUGCGGACAUGGCACAGCUCAUCAAGCCACGCUGAGGCAGCGUCCCACAUGCCACAGCUAGAAGGACCCACAACUAAAAUAUACAACUAUGUACCGGG
Molecule: long non-coding RNA, 382 nt
Filed under: Equus asinus (donkey)
Lineage: Eukaryota; Metazoa; Chordata; Mammalia; Perissodactyla; Equidae
Description: lncRNA (ENSEASG00005024003.1)
Source: RNAcentral